RNAcentral lists this unclassified non-coding RNA (253 nucleotides) under uncultured Alphaproteobacteria bacterium. Its description in RNAcentral is "contains 16S-23S intergenic spacer region". It matches the Rfam family "Bacterial small subunit ribosomal RNA", at positions 524 to 776 of the family's 1533-position model. The record is from RNAcentral. Lineage: Bacteria; Pseudomonadati; Pseudomonadota; Alphaproteobacteria.
UACGAAGGGGGCUAGCGUUGUUCGGAAUUACUGGGCGUAAAGCGCACGUAGGCGGAUUGUUUAGUGAGGGGUGAAAUCCCAGGGCUCAACCCUGGAACUGCCUCUCAUACUGGCAAUCUCGAGUCCGGCAGAGGGGAGUGGAAUUCCGGGUGUAGAGGUGAAAUUCGUAGGUAUUCGGAGGAACACCAGUGGCGAAGGCGGCUCACUGGUCCGGUACUGACGCUGAGGAGCGAAAGCGUGGGGAGCAAACAGA